Notolabrus celidotus (New Zealand spotty) is the source of this 554-nucleotide long non-coding RNA. RefSeq lists it as uncharacterized. NCBI's taxonomy places the organism in Eukaryota, Metazoa, Chordata, Actinopteri, Labriformes, Labridae. The transcript has 3 exons. The record is from RefSeq and is a predicted model, not a curated record.
GCCCCCUGAGCCAGCCAGACGUGUAACCUGUUAUCUCUCUGAAUCAAACUCCGAGCUUCUGCAGACAUGGGUGACAAACCAGACGUCAAAGAGGUCGAACAAUUCGACAAGACCAAGCUGAAGAAGACGUCCACUGAGGAGAAGAACACAUUACCAACUAAAGAAAUCAUCGAACAGGAAAAGGCAGGGUCAUAAUGACGACCAGUCCGACUAUGCACUGUACAUUCCACAAGCCUUGCCUUUUUAAAACCAACAUGUAUGCAAGUUGAAGUGCUUAAUUAAAAAAAAUUAAAAAAAAACAAUGGCCCCAACACCUCACUUGCCCAAAUGUCCCUUGUGCCGGAAGGAGUGUGGCUUCAUAUCGGCAUUGGGUGCCUGGUCAUCUGUUGCUGUUGUACCAAUGAGCUGGUGUGUCAUGAAACAACUGAGGGACCUACACUUGGGGAUUCGUAAUCCUGCUUGUGCCACUUGUGAAUUCUAAGUGUUUUUGUAAAAAAAUAAAUCUGGAAUGUGCAAGUUUGUUAAAUAUGCAAAAUAAAAAAAAUGUUAAUUGA